Molecule: ribosomal RNA, 301 nt
Filed under: uncultured bacterium
Lineage: Bacteria
Description: partial 16S ribosomal RNA
Rfam family: Bacterial small subunit ribosomal RNA
Source: RNAcentral
CAGUAGCCGCGGUAAUACGUAGGUGGCAAGCGUUGUCCGGAAUUAUUGGGCGUAAAGGGCUCGCAGGCGGUUUCUUAAGUCUGAUGUGAAAGCCCCCGGCUCAACCGGGGAGGGUCAUUGGAAACUGGGAAACUUGAGUGCAGAAGAGGAGAGUGGAAUUCCACGUGUAGCGGUGGAAUGCGUAGAGAUGUGGAGGAACACCAGUGGCGAAGGCGACUCUCUGGUCUGUAACUGACGCUGAGGAGCGAAAGCGUGGGGAGCGAACAGGAUUAGAGACCCCAGUAGUCCCUGUCUCUUAUAC